This is a long non-coding RNA of Haemorhous mexicanus (house finch), 889 nucleotides long. RefSeq lists it as uncharacterized. The transcript is spliced from 2 exons. NCBI's taxonomy places the organism in Eukaryota, Metazoa, Chordata, Aves, Passeriformes, Fringillidae. The record is from RefSeq and is a predicted model, not a curated record.
CCUUGGCAGCAAGCUGCACUUCAUCGAGGGCCCUCUGCUUUGGGAUUCACACUCUUUUCCCAGCUGCAGAAACCAGCCUCUGUCAGAGCAGAUCUGUUUGCACAAGCUGUCUCCUUGAAGUGCAUCAAGACCUUGUCUUGUACCCUCCAGGACUCCUGACUGGGCUGCCCUGGACUUCUGCUGGUUUGGUGUUUGCCUUUACAUCGUGCAAAUAUGUACACGGAAGACCUGACAGCCACAUUUCACGAGCCUUAAAAAUCAACAUUCUGGCCUAACCCUGCUCUCCUCUGCCUCCUGGCUCUGUAACAGGCUCUGCUCCUGCAUCUUCCCUGAGAUGACAGUGAAGAUGGCAGCAUUUAGAGGAAUUCCUGGCUGCAGCACAGCUCAGGCUGUAUGAUUUUCAUUAGCACUAACGAGCAGUAAGCAGCUGAUGUCCUGCUCAGGAAAACGACUGGAUCUCCAAGUAUUCCUCCCAAAUCAACAUGAUGGGGGAACAACAGGCUCUGCAGCCUUGGAUUCCUCAGCUCUGCAAAGGGAUUUACCUCUCCCUGGGUUUUCCUUCCCUUGGUCUCUUUUAGUGGUGCUGACAUUUGAUAACAAGCCUGUGUAUGAUUUGGAGUCUGCUUUUCCAGCUUCCCCAGCCCCCCCAAUCUGUUUGGGUUUUUUUAUUUAAAUGAGCCCAUGGAUCCUGAAGCUGAAAACUGUGUGACACAUCAUUUUGGUUUUUAAAAUGAUAUUAUGAGUCUCUCAUCCCUUCAAGGAACACUGAAAAAGGGAAAAGCACCACAGCAGCACACAGCCCAGCCCUACACAGUGCAGCCAGCCAGACAAAGCACCCCAUGCAUCUUGUUUUUUAAAAAUAAAAUGUGAUGGAACUGUUAUUUCCCCA